RNAcentral lists this ribosomal RNA (253 nucleotides) under uncultured bacterium. Its description in RNAcentral is "partial 16S ribosomal RNA". It matches the Rfam family "Bacterial small subunit ribosomal RNA", at positions 524 to 776 of the family's 1533-position model. The record is from RNAcentral.
UACGUAGGGGGCAAGCGUUGUCCGGAUUUAUUGGGCGUAAAGAGCUCGUAGGCGGUCUGUCGCGUCUGCUGUGAAAACCCGAGGCUCAACCUCGGGCCUGCAGUGGGUACGGGCAGACUAGAGUGCGGUAGGGGAGAAUGGAAUUCCUGGUGUAGCGGUGGAAUGCGCAGAUAUCAGGAGGAACACCGAUGGCGAAGGCAGUUCUCUGGGCCGUAACUGACGCUGAGGAGCGAAAGCAUGGGGAGCGAACAGG